UCCCUGGUGGCUCAGUGGUUAAGCCUGUGCUUCCACUGCAAGAGGUGCGGGUUUGAUCCCUGCUCAGGGAA
Molecule: transfer RNA, 71 nt
Filed under: Bos taurus (domestic cattle)
Lineage: Eukaryota; Metazoa; Chordata; Mammalia; Artiodactyla; Bovidae
Also listed under: 1 other name
Rfam family: tRNA
About the family: Transfer RNA (tRNA) molecules are approximately 80 nucleotides in length. Their secondary structure includes four short double-helical elements and three loops (D, anti-codon, and T loops).
Source: Rfam by way of RNAcentral